RNAcentral lists this long non-coding RNA (712 nucleotides) under Equus caballus (horse). RNAcentral's name for it is "lncRNA (ENSECAG00000044991.1)". The record is from RNAcentral. Lineage: Eukaryota; Metazoa; Chordata; Mammalia; Perissodactyla; Equidae.
GUAACUCUCUUCUGCAGAGUAAGGGUUGUGGGGGGCGGAGGGAAGGUGCAGUCCCUUCACUUUUGAAUAAGGCUAUUUAAAACUGUCGAAGACCCUGUGAGCAGCCCAGGUGGCAGCAGCCCUGGGUCCCAUCAUUGCAAGAGACAUGGUCACCAGACUCAGCCCAGGCCACUUGGCUCAAUUCCUUCUUUCCUGGUUGGGAAGUCCUUUUCUAUUCAACCAAUAUUCUUCAGCGGUCUGACUUCGGCGGUCCCCCAAUUAGUUUAAUGACAGACAACAGAGCUUCGGCCUUCUGUGGCCUGACAAGAGGAGUCAGGAUGCAACCCUCAAUACAAAAGAGCCAAAGUUGCAAGUCAUGUAACUGGAGUGUGUGCAAAGGAGAAAAUUUUGACCUGAAAUAACACCCGAAACCAAUGAUUCUCCCCUAAACAGAACCAAAGAACCAGGACACGACUGGAACUUGAAAGCCAAACUCUCCUUGGAAGUGAGAGGUCCAUUGUCCAGGAAGAUCUGUCGUUAAUGCCCGUUUCCAUAACUUGCCAUAAAUGGCCAAGUUUAAAGCCAUCCUACUGAAACCUGCCUGACCUGUUCUUCUGCAUACCAGCCUGUUUCCCCUAACCCCAAACUUAAAUUUUUGCCCCAAACUGUGAAUAGAGGGACAGAUUUGAGAGCCUUGCCUCCUGUCUCCUUGCCACUUGACCUCCCAAUAAAG